This 322-nucleotide ribosomal RNA is filed under the name uncultured eukaryote. RNAcentral's name for it is "partial 18S ribosomal RNA". It matches the Rfam family "Eukaryotic small subunit ribosomal RNA", at positions 1470 to 1796 of the family's 1831-position model. The record is from RNAcentral.
CCCUUAGAUGUUCUGGGCCGCACGCGUGCUACACUGAGUGGAUCAGCGGGUCAGGUUGCGCGAAAGCGUUUCCUAAUCUUUAAAUCCGCUCGUGAUGGGGAUUGACGGUUGCAAUUUUCUGUCAUGAACGAGGAAUACCUUGUAAGCGCGGGUCAUCAUCCCGCGCUGAAUACGUCCCUGCCCUUUGUACACACCGCCCGUCGCUCCUACCGAUUGAGUGGUCCGGUGAGGCUUUGGGAUCUGAGCGGAAAGAGCGUCUCGCUGUUUCUGCUCGGAAAACUCAGUCGAACCUUAUCAUUUAGAGGAAGGAGAAGUCGUAACA